Suricata suricatta (meerkat) is the source of this 131-nucleotide small nucleolar RNA. The record is from Ensembl. NCBI's taxonomy places the organism in Eukaryota, Metazoa, Chordata, Mammalia, Carnivora, Herpestidae.
CAGCAUGGUUCCAAGAGCUGUGGUCAGUUGUGGCCAUGGGAUCCCCAACUGCAUGUGAGAGCAACCCGAAGGGACUUUGAAAACACAGGUCAGCAUAGUACCUACAGCUGCCAUUCACCUUCCCUGUAACA